This is a long non-coding RNA of Salvia hispanica, 573 nucleotides long. RefSeq lists it as uncharacterized. NCBI's taxonomy places the organism in Eukaryota, Viridiplantae, Streptophyta, Magnoliopsida, Lamiales, Lamiaceae. The record is from RefSeq and is a predicted model, not a curated record.
AAAAAAAAAAAAAAAAAAAAAAAAAAAAAAAAAAAAAAAAAAACGGGUCAAACCAAUUUCAUUCUCCCUCUCUCGCUCGCCUCUCUCUGCGACAGAAACCCUAAUCUCCCCUUCUCGGGAGCUUCCUUCGUCUCACUACAAUCAAUUAGAGGUGAGAGCAGCAAUUACCAACAAAGCUAAUAAUAAGCCUUAGUAUAUGGAUAUCCAUAUGUCUGGGUCAGAUGAAGAAAGUGACGAUGAUAGUUAUUUCAAUAAGAUAUUCAUUACUCAUCAAGGUGAUGAUCAUGAAGAGGAAGAGAGUCAACCACAUAUGAUUGAUGUUUCUCAUAAUGGGAUGGAAGAGACUCAACACUCGAUCGAAUUACAAUUGUUCAACCGUUCAAGUUACAAAUGAGUGGACUAGAUUUAAGGAUACUCUAGUUGAAGCUAUGUUUCUCCAUUAUCAAAAUAGGCGUAGCUUUUAGGAUCGUUCUUAUGAAACUAUUGUAAUCACUUGUUACUUAUGGUUUGCUUCUUGUUUUGUUACUCAUUAUUAUCACCAUUUAUAUCUAUGUAUUGUUUUUCCUUGUUUUA